GGCUGGAUCACCUCCUAACAGGGAGACAAAAACCGACUUUGAUGUUUGAUCCAUCCAGUGAUCAAGCCAGAGUCCUGUCAUCUCUAGGUCGAUCGGUACCUCAAGGAGCGAGCAAGGGAGCCUGAGCAAUCAGGGGAGACUUGCAGAGCUUUUUUCAGUUCCUGAACUUUGUCUAGGUCACCCCGUAGCUCCUGGCCAUUAGCUCAGGUGGUUAGAGCGCACCCCUGAUAAGGGUGAGGUCCCUGGUUCAAGUCCAGGAUGGCCCAUUGACCGCCUGUGAAGCAGGCAGGACUUGAAAGCUGGGGGUUUAGCUCAGUUGGUAGAGCGCCUGCUUUGCAAGCAGGAUGUCAGCGGUUCGAGUCCGCUAACCUCCAUAUCAACGGGACCCCAGAAGCGAAAGCGAGAGAGCUGAACGGGAGUGAUCAAGACGGGAAGGGAAGGCGCUGAGGAUGAAGCCAGCCUUCAGGAUUCAGAGAUCAGGUGUUUGCGAGUUGAACACCGGAGGCUUUGAGUGUUGAAUGCUGGACUCACGCCCGGGAACGGAAGUUUUUGGGUGAGAUGUUCAGCGAAGAACCUUGACAACUGCAUAGGUGAGUCUGGAAAGAAAGCAUCUCAUGGAUGUCCAGUGAGAACUGGAGAUUCUAUUGAGUUUAGAGCCGAGACUUUCCAGUGUCUUCCAACGUCUGAGCAAUCCACUCAGGGGACGGGAGUUUGAUGGUGGAGUUCAGGGCAUCAGCGGCCCAGGUGAAGCACCCGAGAGGGUGAGGAGCGUGGGGUGCUGAGGU
Molecule: transfer RNA, 785 nt
Filed under: uncultured Synechococcus sp.
Lineage: Bacteria; Bacillati; Cyanobacteriota; Cyanophyceae; Synechococcales; Synechococcaceae
Description: partial 16S-23S ribosomal RNA intergenic spacer
Rfam family: tRNA (bases 302-374)
Source: RNAcentral